UAGAGUUUGAUCCUGGCUCAGAUUGAACGCUGGCGGCAGGCCUAACACAUGCAAGUCGAGCGGUAGCGGGAAGAGCUUGCUCUUUGCCGACGAGCGGCGGACGGGUGCGUAACACGUAGGAAUCUGCCCGGUAGUGGGGGAUAGCCCGGAGAAAUCCGGAUUAAUACCGCAUACGCACUAGCUCUUUAAGAGCGGUGGAAAGCAGGGGAUCGGUUCGCCGACCUUGCGCUAUCGGAUGAGCCUGCGUCGGAUUAGCUUGUUGGUGGGGUAAAGGCCCACCAAGGCAACGAUCCGUAGCUGGUCUGAGAGGAUGAUCAGCCACACUGGGACUGAGACACGGCCCAGACUCCUACGGGAGG
This 359-nucleotide ribosomal RNA is filed under the name uncultured Spongiobacter sp. Its description in RNAcentral is "bacterial SSU rRNA". It matches the Rfam family "Bacterial small subunit ribosomal RNA", at positions 1 to 348 of the family's 1533-position model. Lineage: Bacteria; Pseudomonadati; Pseudomonadota; Gammaproteobacteria. The record is from RNAcentral.